UCCUGGAUGGCCGAGUGGUUAAGGCGACAGUCUUAAGUCCUUUGAUGGAAGAUAACUGUUGUGGAAACACGCGAGGGUUCGAACCCCUCUCCAGGAA
This is a non-coding RNA of Absidia glauca, 97 nucleotides long. The record is from Rfam. NCBI's taxonomy places the organism in Eukaryota, Fungi, Mucoromycota, Mucoromycetes, Mucorales, Cunninghamellaceae.